AAACAUGGAAGUGAUUGAACAAAAAGAAGUAAAACAAAGGAGAAAGUGAAACUAAAGCCAAAUAAAGGGAAAAACAAAAGGUGGAUUGCCGACAAUAAACGUCCCCAUUUCCAAAAUGGAAGUUUUUUAUUCAUGAUCCAUGCCUAUGGUUUGGAUUGGUGGAGAAGCCCAGUACCGGGCCCUAAAGCACCAUGGCCCAGCCCAACAUGAUCAUGCUAUUUUGUGAGGAAACUCUCUCAACAGAAGUGCCAAAAUUCAAUCAAUCACAAAUCCCAAUUUGUAACCAAAGAAAAAUAAUCAUAAAGACAAGCACCCAUCCUUCUAUUCAAGAUCACAAUGUACAUAUUUAUAUCUAUAACAAAAUUUUCAUCAAAAAAAAAAACCAUAGGCUCAUAAUCCUUGGCCAACUCUUUUAUGCUGAAAAGCAGUUGAAGACGAUGUUUUCACUUUGACCCAAAAGCUCUUUCUUCUCAACCCGGAACGUGGGCGACCGUACUUUCUUCUCAUUCUCCAUUCUCCUGUCGGAUUCCUGCACCAUCUCCGACCUGUUUCCGGUCCCAGCAGCUGCUUUUCUCUCCAUCCUUCUCCUCACGACAUACUCCUCAGGAAUAAAUACAUCCAUGGGGAUAAUUCCAAAAUCUGACAGAACAAUUUAUAAAGAUCUAGGUAGUAGAGAAGAAAGCUGAUGAGAAUAGGAGUGUAGAAGAGGUAGUGGGAGAAAGAAGUAAAAGCGGUAUUUAAAGGGGGAGUGGAGAUGGGAAUCUAUGGGCUUAUGCCCCCCAUGUUUUGGUUUAAACAAGCAACAGUUUCUACUUAUGAAGAGGCAUGCAGCAGACCUAGAUGCGGUCGGUUUUCAUAAAGCCCACU
This 867-nucleotide long non-coding RNA is filed under the name Vitis vinifera (wine grape). Its description in RNAcentral is "long non-coding RNA (VVIN_LNC000369)". The record is from RNAcentral. Lineage: Eukaryota; Viridiplantae; Streptophyta; Magnoliopsida; Vitales; Vitaceae.